RNAcentral lists this ribosomal RNA (472 nucleotides) under Streptococcus anginosus. RNAcentral describes it as "bacterial SSU rRNA". It matches the Rfam family "Bacterial small subunit ribosomal RNA", at positions 28 to 474 of the family's 1533-position model. The record is from RNAcentral. Lineage: Bacteria; Bacillati; Bacillota; Bacilli; Lactobacillales; Streptococcaceae.
GACGAACGCUGGCGGCGUGCCUAAUACAUGCAAGUAGGACGCACAGUUUAUACCGUAGCUUGCUACACCAUAGACUGUGAGUUGCGAACGGGUGAGUAACGCGUAGGUAACCUACCUAUUAGAGGGGGAUAACUAUUGGAAACGAUAGCUAAUACCGCAUAACAGUAUGUAACACAUGUUAGAUGCUUGAAAGAUGCAAUUGCAUCGCUAGUAGAUGGACCUGCGUUGUAUUAGCUAGUAGGUAGGGUAAAGGCCUACCUAGGCAACGAUACAUAGCCGACCUGAGAGGGUGAUCGGCCACACUGGGACUGAGACACGGCCCAGACUCCUACGGGAGGCAGCAGUAGGGAAUCUUCGGCAAUGGGGGGAACCCUGACCGAGCAACGCCGCGUGAGUGAAGAAGGUUUUCGGACCGUAAAGCUCUGUUGUUAAGGAAGAACGAGUGUGAGAAUGGAAAGUUCAUGCUGUGACG